This 253-nucleotide ribosomal RNA is filed under the name uncultured bacterium. Its description in RNAcentral is "partial 16S ribosomal RNA". It matches the Rfam family "Bacterial small subunit ribosomal RNA", at positions 524 to 776 of the family's 1533-position model. The record is from RNAcentral.
UACGUAGGUGGCAAGAGUUGUACGGAUUUAUUGGGCGUAAAGCGAGCGCAGGCGGUUCCUUAAGGCUGAUGUGAAAGCCCCCGGCUCAACCGGGGAAGGUCAUUGGAAACUGGGGAACUUGAGUGCAGAAGAGGAGAGUGGAAUUCCAUGUGUAGCGGUGAAAUGCGCAGAGAUAUGGAGGAACACCAGUGGCGAAGGCGACUUUCUGGCUAUUAACUGACGCUGAGGCGCGAAAGCGUCGGGAGCAAACAGG